Molecule: small nuclear RNA, 99 nt
Filed under: Panthera pardus (leopard)
Lineage: Eukaryota; Metazoa; Chordata; Mammalia; Carnivora; Felidae
Source: RNAcentral
GGGGUGGCCCAUAUACUAAUAUUGGAAAGGAAAAGAAAAAACUCAGCAUGGCCUUUGGGCAGGUAUGACCUGCACAUUAAUGAAGUGUUCUAAAUUUUG